CUGACGGAGCAAGACCGCGUGAGGGAGGAAGGCUCUUGGGUUGUAAACCUCUUUUCUCAGGGAAGAAGCUCUGACGGUACCUGAGGAAUCAGCCUCGGCUAACUCCGUGCCAGCAGCCGCGGUAAUACGGAGGAGGCAAGCGUUAUCCGGAAUUAUUGGGCGUAAAGCGUCCGCAGGUGGCGAUUCAAGUUCUGCUGUCAAAGCACGGGGCUUAACUCCGUUAAGGCAGUGGAAACUGAAUGGCUAGAGUGCCGUAGGGGUAGAGGGAAUUCCCGGUGUAGCGGUGAAAUGCGUAGAGAUCGGGAAGAACAUCGGUGGCGAAAGCGCUCGUACUG
Molecule: ribosomal RNA, 335 nt
Filed under: uncultured cyanobacterium
Lineage: Bacteria; Bacillati; Cyanobacteriota
Description: bacterial SSU rRNA
Rfam family: Bacterial small subunit ribosomal RNA
Source: RNAcentral